AGUGGUUUCUGCUAAAGAAACCUUUUGUCAGUCCUAGAAACACUAACGAAUAAGGGGUGGGCAGGUUCUGGUGUCAGCCGCCGCGGUAAAACCAGCACCUCAAGUGGUCAGGAUGAUUAUUGGGCCUAAAGCAUCCGUAGCUCGUUUUGUAAGUUUUCGGUUAAAUCCAUGCGCUUAACGUAUGGGCUGCCGGGAAUACUGCAUAACUAGGAAGUGGGAGAGGUAGACGGUACUCGGUAGGAAGGGGUAAAAUCCUUUGAUCUAUUGAUGACCACCUGUGGCGAAGGCGGUCUACCAGAACACGUUCGACGGUGAGGGAUGAAAGCUGGGGGAGCAAACCGGAUUAGAUACCCGGGUAGUCCCAGCUGUUAACUAUGCAAACUCAGUGAUGCAUUGGCUUGUGGCCAAUGCAGUGCUGCAGGGAAGCCGUUAAGUUUGCCGCCUGGGAAGUACGUACGCAAGUAUGAAACUUAAAGGAAUUGGCGGGGGAGCACCACAAGGGGUGAAGCCUGCGGUUCAAUUGGAGUCAACGCCAGAAAUCUUACCCGGAGAGACAGCAGAAUGAAGGUCAAGCUGAAGACUUUACCAGACAAGCUGAGAGGUGGUGCAUGGCCGUCGCCAGCUCGUGCCGUGAGAUGUCCUGUUAAGUCAGGUAACGAGCGAGAUCC
This 668-nucleotide ribosomal RNA is filed under the name uncultured archaeon. RNAcentral describes it as "bacterial SSU rRNA". It matches the Rfam family "Archaeal small subunit ribosomal RNA", at positions 384 to 1053 of the family's 1478-position model. The record is from RNAcentral.